CCUACGGGAGGCAGCAGUGGGGAAGUUUUAGGUACAAUGGGCGGCAAGCCUGAUCCAGCCAUGCCGCGUGUGGGAAGAAGGCCUUCGGGUUGUAAACCACUUUUGUCAGGGAAGAAACGGCCUUUACUAAUAUUAAGGGCUAAUGACGGUACCUGAAGAAUAAGCACCGGCUAACUACGUGCCAGCAGCCGCGGUAAUACGUAGGGUGCAAGCGUUAAUCGGAAUUACUGGGCGUAAAGCGUGCGCAGGCGGCUUUGCAAGACAGAUGUGAAAUCCCCGGGCUCAACCUGGGAACUGCAUUUGUGGCUGCAUGGCUAGAGUACGGUAGAGGGGGAUGGAAUUCCGCGUGUAGCAGUGAAAUGCGUAGAUAUGCGGAGGAACACCGAUGGCGAAGGCAAUCCCCUGGACCUGUACUGACGCUCAUGCACGAAAGCGUGGGGAGCAAACAGGAUUAGAUACCCUGGUAGUCCACGCCCUAAACGAUGUCAACUGGUUGUUGGACGGCUUGCUGUUCAGUACGAAGCUAACGCGUGAAGUUGACCGCCUGGGGGNGGACGGCGCGAGUAGACGUACAANAGAGUAGAGCGNGAGAGAGCGACGGACGACGACGAGGGAGGAGG
This 620-nucleotide ribosomal RNA is filed under the name uncultured bacterium. RNAcentral's name for it is "bacterial SSU rRNA". The stretch from base 1 to 545 matches the Rfam family "Bacterial small subunit ribosomal RNA", at positions 338 to 873 of the family's 1533-position model. The record is from RNAcentral.